Molecule: long non-coding RNA, 36085 nt
Organism: Numida meleagris (helmeted guineafowl)
Lineage: Eukaryota; Metazoa; Chordata; Aves; Galliformes; Numididae
Exons: 2
Source: RefSeq, a predicted model, not a curated record
UCACCUCAUCUCACAUGUGCCUUCCAGGAGGAUCUGCUCCAUAAUCUUUUCAGGCACAACAUGAGGCUCACUGGCCUGUUGUUCCCUGGGUCUUCCUUUCUCCCUUUCUUGAAUGUGGGAGUAAUAUUUCCCUUUAUCCAGUCACAGCAGAUUUUGCUUGACAGCUGCAAUUUUUCAAAUACGAUGGAGAUCGGCUUGUCAUCCACAUCAAACAAUUCCUACAGAACCCUGGGAAACACGUCAUCUGGCCCUGCAGACUUGUACACGUUCAGCCUCAUGAGGUGAUCUUGGACUUGCUCCUCUCUUAACUGGGAGGGAUUUUGCUCCCCUGACCCCUGCUUAGAAGUUCAAGGAUACGAGAGGAGUUAAAAGCCUGACUGGCCAUUAAGACCAAGGAGAAGAUCAUGUUAAGUACCUCAGCCUUCUAUGUGUAUGAGGAGGCCAGUUCAGCCUUCUUGUUUAUCAGAGGAGGUACAGUCUCUUCUGCCCAGUGUAUCUAAAGAAAUCUUCCUUGUUUUUCACAUCCCUUGACAAGUUCUAUUCCAUCUGUGCCUUAGCUUUCCUGAUCCUAUCCCUGUGCAUCUGGACAGCAUACUUAUAUUCUUCCCAUCCAUUCCUGCUUCCACUGUUUAUACUUUUCCUUUUUUUUUCCCCCCUCAGCCUGGCCUGCAGGUCCUUGCUCAGCUGUGCUGGUUUCCUGCCUCAUCUGACUGACUUCUUAUUCUUGGGGAUAGAGAGCCCUUGUUUUCUACAUGGAGGAAUUCAGUGACACCCAUUUGCUUCAUACGCAGUUCCGUGUCAGAUGCCAUUUUUUUUUUCAGACUGUCCCUCUGCUGCCAUCUGUCACGUGGCAACAACAUGAAACAGAAUAUUGGUGUGAAGGUUCAACCGCUGCUGCCAUACCACCACCAUCUGUCUCUGAUGUUGUGGGCCGACAUAAUAAAAUAGGUGGCAUUGCUUCUGGACCAGCUUCAUAUAAAAUAACUAACGAUUCAAAGAAGUGGUGUGGAUACCUGGAAUAGAAACCUGAUUCCCAGUGGGUUCUGCUGGUUUGAGGAGUAUGAACGUGUGUAUCACCGAAGGAAAAUUUACAUUUAAUUCGCCUAAAGGACACCAGGAACUAUAAGAGAAGUGUUGACUUCUCCUUGGUGCAAGUACAUUCCUCUUUUGCCUAGCAGGUUGAUCCUGAGCAGUACUGAAAAGAGCUUUGUAACGUGUUCUUUUUAAGAAUGUGUUUCAUAGAUGCAAAGAGUUUUAUGAGCUGUCUUCUGUCACAAGGGACAUGAUUUUUUUAUCUAUUUUUAGAAGUGUACAUACAGAUCUGAUUUGGAAUGUGAGUUUUAUUUCAUGCCUGUUAAUAGCAGGGUCUUCCAAAUCCAUGGAAUACCUCUUUAAACUUUUUAAUUUGUAACCUCACACUAGCAAUUGUAUUUAAAUAUUGACAUGUUGCAUGUAACUACAUCAAUAGCUUUAAAUGGCAGAACAAGUGGAAAGAAGUUCAGACUUAUGAAAUAUCUGUGACUGUCAGAGUUGACAUUAUUUUUUUUCUAAUGCUGAUUGUUUCCAAGGGCCCCAUAUGGGACUAGGAUGCUGCUAUGCUGGUGGUUUUGGAAUCGUGAAAAAAGUCAUCCAUUUUGUAACUGUGCAGUAGCUUUUUGUAUGGUUUGAAAAAUGUUGAGCUAAAAAAGUGCAAGCAUUCACAGCAUAUUCUAAGUGUCACUUUCAAAGAAUGGAUAUACAUACCUUUGUCAUUCCCCUUUUUAUUCUGUCAUGGUUUGCCACUCUCCUAAAAUUGGGUCAAUCUGUGCACCUAUGUUAAAUCAGCUGUUCAUAAGUGACUUGAAUUCAAAAUGCAUAGGUAGAAAUGGCAGCCAAAUCUGAGUGCAUGGUCAUCAGUAUUGGUUGGCAUAUUACCCUAUAACAAAAGAAUGGAGGUGAAGGUAGCUAGUUGUGAAAAGCAUUGUUUUUUUGCAAGUUUUAUAGGGGAUUUCUUACUCCUCUUCCUCCUCUCUUUAGAAGUAGUUUUUUAUUUUCUAAACUGAGAAAAGGGAAUGGGUGGAGUACUUCACCUUCCUGUCUCUCACUUCUAAUUCAACAGUUGGGGGAUACUGUACAUGUAAAUUAUCCCAAGUGUUAUGUACAACUAAAUAUAUUAGCCUUAUUUAGUCACCCUUUCCUAAAUAAGGUACACUAACUUCUGUAAUUGUGGAUUUAGCUCAGGAUUUUCUCUCUUCUUUAGAAAAGUAUUGUUGAGUGUGUACAAACCCGUUAUGAACCCUUGGGCAGAAAGGUGCUGCUGCACUUCUUUAGUCAAGAGUAGUGUUCGCGUCAUCAUUGAAACUGGAGCUGAAGAAUGCUCAUUUUGAUACUUCAUGCUGUUUUUAACCAUCCUGUUUGCGCAGAAUCCCUUCCAGACUCCUUAACAGUACUAUAAAUUUCUCCACAGGGAAUACACCAAUUAUGUUGUAGUCACUUAUUUAGUGGUUUGAUUAUUUUUGCUUCUUGGACUCAUCUCCUGUGCAUUACUUGGGAAUUGGUCAAGAGUACGUUCUCUCCUUGGAUUAAUAUUCUAAAUUUACUUUUCUUAGAAAAGUAAUUUCUUAAUCUAAAAGAUUUUUUUUUCUGCCAAACUAUAGCUGGAUAUGCUGGCAAACUCAGUUUAUUUUGAGGUUAUUUUUCUGCUACAGUUCUUUUGGGAAGGUUCAUUGCUUUUCUGACCUUGCUCAGCACUUAAAUGAGUCUCUCAAAAUGGCUGGUUAUCCUAAAAUCAAAGAUCUUCAAAUGAAGAAACACUCUGAAAAACCUUUACUUUUGUUGUGGCUCUCCCAGUUGAGUGAAAGUUCUUACAUAUUUACCUACUCUCUGAGCCUAAAGGAGCACCAGUUGCUGCAAGACAUGAGGAAAAACACCCCCUUUCUAGCAGAGCAUACUGUCCUCAAAGAGCUAGAGAGCUGCUAGUGAACUCCUCCAAGCCCUCAGAUUUCAACCCAAGGUGGUGGGCUCCCUGUUUUUUUUUUCUUCAGCUACUUAAUUUGUUAUGACUUUCUAUCUCAUCUGAGUAGAAUGGAGUCAUCCACCUGUUUUGCUGAAUGGACAUCGCCUGGGGUAGCUAUGCAGAAGGAUAUCUUCCAUACAGAUGAUAGAGAAACCUUACUUUCAUAUAAGGUAGGUGAGGAAGAUUUGAGAUGAGUGAGACAGAUCUAUAUAGCUAUCAUUUCAGCUAUGUUCAGACAAUGCUGCCUCAGUUGCCAAUUAUGUCACAUCAGGAAGUAUUUAAAGUCAUAAGAACAUACACGUAAUGUGGAGUUGUGCUGAACUAUAAUAACCAAUGCUAUGUUUAAAACAAAAGGACAGAUUCUAGCAGAUCCCUUGGCUCUGGGGAAGUGAAUUAUGAGUGGACCAAAGUGCUGUAUUAUUGUUUCCUCUGUCGACUGUUCAUCCUCUUUUGUAUUGUGCACCAGCCACUGCAGUGAUUGCUGCAUAAAUUUUCUUCAUGCUUUAUUCUCAUUUACUUCAGUGCCUAAGGGAAGGAUUUUAUUGAAAACAUUGAAAAAAUAAUGUAGGUAUCUGUAUAAUACAGAAAAUGUGUGUACAUCUGUAGUAGAGAUAUAAUUUACUAAAUAUUUAUGAAUGAUUCUUCUUAGAGCAGUUCAAAAGCUGAAGGGAUGAGGAAGAUGCAACCUGAAGGGUGGUAGUGGUUGUUGUUUUCUUUUUUUUUUGUGGGACUUUCCAUAAGUGUUUCCAAGUGUUUGAGGUCUCCUGUGUUGUCUGUUAUUUCAUAUCUGAACAGGACAGCUAUCACAUUUCAUUCUUCAGCACCCUUUGGAAUAAAGAGAGACUAUGUAGCUCAUAUAAAUGAAUAGUUGAGAAAAUACUGUUUUUGAGGUGAAAUUAAAUACUUAUGGAAGACUCCUUUUGUUUACGUCAAUGAUUUGUGGACAGGAAGCACGCUGAAGGUAGAUGCCCAAUGGGAUGAGAUAAGGCUUCACAGGAAUCAAGUGGUCUUAAAGUCCUGUCCUACUUUGUGAUAAAGGGCAAAGGAAUGAACAUUUUCUUACAAUCGUUGGCAAAUUCAUGCACUAAUUUGCUCUCCAGCUUUUUAAGGAGUACCAGCCUGGAAAUCUACUAAGGUGGGGCACGGCAUGUCAUUUAGGAAAGUACUUCUAAUUGUUAAAUGCCUUUUGUUUAUCAGUUCCAAUAUCCUUUAGGCCUCUAGGUUGCUCUCCUGUCUGCUAGCUGGAGAUAUUGCAUAGCAAAUUCUUGGGACAUUCUGAAGGCAGCUAUGUUCCAGAUGUGGUCAGAGGGGCCACAGACCCACCUCAGUGUCCUGGCAUGGCCUGCAUAAAAUAGGGUGCUAGCAGAGAGAGGAUGAGUCUUGGAUCUGUGUACCCCUUACAAGGUGAGGAGAUGGGGAUGGAGAAGAGUAAAGUGACAGAGAGUAGGAGAGAGAGAGCUUAAAAACCUAAUACUAAUUUUAUUGGUGUAAUUUUAAGACUUUUCUCUGGAAUAUUGCCCAUACAGGUAUAAUCAUUUGGUGCUCUGCGUAACAAACCAAACAGGACAAUUGACCUGACAGGUUCAGUUUUUUAUUAUUAUAAUUUAGUUUUGUAUCUGUAGGGGAAGACUAAUAAAGUUAAGCCUGUGAGGAAAGCUAUUAAAAGACUCUUAUUUUUCUUUACAUUUUCAUUUCCUUCCAUUCCUAAGAAUUUUUAUUACUCAUGCUUGCUAGUAUAUCUAACUCUUCAGCAUGCUUUUGCAUGCUUAUUGUGUAUUGAUAAGCUAAACUGCAUCUCUUUGUUAUAAUUUUGUUGAGCCUCAUUAGUUUCCAACCUAGUUUGUGCGUCAUACGUUCAGUAAUGCAGGCAGGAGAAUGGAGCUGGCUGCCUAAACCACUGUGGUACUUCUGUGUGUCUCCUGGUGUUCUCCACUCCUCUUCUCCCUUCCUUCUUGUAGGCACAGUGCCAACAAACACAGCUUGCCAAGGUGGUCAGCGUGAGCCCUUAAUUCGUCUCUUCCACAAAAGAACAUGAACUUUGGUUGGCUUCAUUGCUGGCUGUCAGAAUUAGAAGCUGUGGCCUUGUUUGCAAGUCCCAUCUGCAAAGCAUGUAGUUUGGCUAUUAAGAGAUGAUUCAGCAUGGUAGUCACAGAACCACAGAAUUGUAGGGGCUGAAAGGGACCUCUGGAGAUCAUUUAGUCCAACACGCCUGCUAAAGCAGAUUCCCUGCUGUAGAUUGCACAGUAAAAUGUUCAGACUGGUUUUCAGUAUCUCCAGAGAAUGAGACUUAAUUACCUCUGGGCACCUUGUUCCAGUGCUCUCUCACCCUUAAAGUAUAGAAGCUUUUUAUCAUAUCCAGAUUGAAUUUCUUGAGUUCCAGUUGCCUCUUUUUCUGUUGCUGAGUGCCACUGAAAAGAGCCUGGCCCCAUCCUCUUAACUCCCUUCCAUUAGAUAUCUUAUAAGUAUUGAUAAGAUCCUCCCUCAGUCUUCUCUUCUCCAGGCUGAACAGUCCCAGGUCUCUCUGCCUUUCCUCAUAAAGGAGAUGCUCCAGACCCCUCAUCAUCUUUGUGGCCACUCACUGGGCUCUCUCUAAAAGAUCCCUGUCUUUCUUGAACUGAAGAGCACAGUUCGGGACACAGUACUCCAGGUGUGGUCCCACUGGAGUCAUCUGGUGACACUUAUAUGAGCGAGAGACUUGUGUGCUAUUCCUGAGUAAUGGUGACACAUGCCAGGUGAAGAAUCCAGUUGUAGUUAAGCUUAAUUUUUAAUCUCUUACCCAGAUAAGUGGCUGCAAUGUCGCUAUGUCUUCUCUCUUUGCCCUUUCCUCUUCCCUGCUCUCUACUUCCCUUGAACUGUGGGCUCUCAGGCUAAAUUUAACCAAAGUUUAUAAAGGGAUAGAACUUUUAAAUAGAAUUAGUUUCAUGAGUUUCCAUCGCAAUGCGGGGGGAAUAGAGAGACCCAAAUUUGUGCCCUAGCUGAGGAGAAACUGGGCAGACUUCAACCAGGCUGUGCUGUUUUUGAGUGCGUGGAUAUCUCUGGCCCUCCCAUAUUCGGACUGAUCAGUCAGCAUGCAUUUAACUCCAGAGCUGCCACACACUUAUAAUCCCUUACAUGCAAGGCAGAGAGACUGGUGUUAUUGUGGGAGCGAGAAAGGCUUAAAGGGUACAAGACACAAGCUGGCAGAAAAUUAACCUUCCAUAGUUCGUAGGAUGGCUUUUGUGCUUGGGUAUAAGAAAAGGGCAUGCUGCAUAGACAACUGCUGUAUAUUAGCAAACAUGAUGUAGCCAUUGGAGUAAUACAGCUUAUCUGUGUUUGUCUCCAAUGGCGUGAACUCUCUGUGGAUAUUAUCCAUUUUGUGCUGCUCAGUCAGACAAAAAGCAGCCUAGCUUGCAUGUUUCUUGGCUGUGAUAGUUUGCAGAUGGAGUUCUGUGGGAUGCAUUUUCUAAACUCAUAAGAGUGGAGUAAAGAUUGUGUACUAUUUUAUACUUCGGUUCAGAGUCCAUUCUACAGCUUCUUUGUGUUCCAAUGCAAUUAAUAACACUGUCUUUUCUCUUAAAAUUCUUAAUUUUCAUGUUUUGUAAUAAGCGUGCAAUUAUGAAAUUGCAUUAUAUACUGCCUCUUCCAGGAUCUUCCUGGAACAGAUUUAGUUUGAAGUGUUACAGAAACAACUUCUGUCCAAACACAGGCAGAAUGACUGUGGAUAUGGAAAAUUUCACGGGCUUUGGCAGUCAGGUGAUGCUGCAGCAAGGCACGUAUGUGAUUUCCAUGUUAGACAAUUUUAUAUUUUCAGUUGGUAGCAUUUUCUAUGAUUGUGGGUCAAUCUGUUAUGCUACUCUGAUCACUUUAAUUGAUUUAAAAAAAAAUAAUGUAUAAUUUUUUUCUCUUUGAUAAAUACAUGUAAACAAAGCUACCUUGAAGCAUCAUCAGUGCUGCAUGACAUGUCAACAAAAACCUUUGGUUUUAGCAGUAAAUGCCAUCUAGCAACAUUAUUCAGUUAAAUCAAUUCUAGUUACUCUGGUAUUUAUAAUACAUUUAGUUUGUAUUGUAGGUGAUAUAUCUUAUUACGGCUUACUCUAUCAUAUUAAAUGCUAUAAUACAACAUGCAUUACAGACUUAUGUUUGAAUAGUGACACAAAUAUUAAUGUGCUCCUGGGAUAUAGCUCUGUUUUCUGUGUUUCCUACAGUCCUCACCCUCAAUGUUAGAAUCAGUUUUCAGAGCUGGGAAUGUUCUCGGGAACAAGGAUUAAAUUACCUCUGAGUCACAGAAGGCAAAGCAAAGAGCUGGUCAUCAUUGGGCUGCGUAUGUGCCCACACAGUGCUAGGAUUUCAUGUAGGAUACGCAUUAAGUCACUGACACCAAGACUUGAUGUUAAGUGUCAAAUAAACCAUGUGUGUUAUUAAAGGAUGAGCUUAAGCUUAUAUGAAGUGCCUUGCCAGAUCUGUUGUUAAAGCCUUUAAGCAAAAAGUUGAGAGAGAACAAUGGAAGUUGUUGCAGAGAGAGAGUACCAUCUCUUUUUGUAAAUUACUUUCAGCCUGUGGGUCACUCACAAGGUUGGUUUGUUCCAUAUUUACUGUUCCCAGUGAAGUGACUGGUCCAGAGAAGUUUCCUGUCAUGUCCCUUCUCUGAUUUGGUUUUAAAAUUCCCGGAAAGACUUCAUACUCCUGGAUGAACAAGCCUAUUUGUAGCAAUAUAAGACUUGAGAUCAAGAUGCUUGUGAAUGGCAAGCAGAAGAGCUGAGGUGAAUACCAUCCCACUGAUUUGGUAGCAUGGUUGGCAUUGGAAGUGACCUGGCUUUUGGAGGGAUUACUAACUGCCCGUAUAAACAAAUGAGCAGAAAUCUGUGUGAACACAUAGGGGAAGGCAGCAGCAAAAGGCUGGCUGUCACAGCAAAGAGUACUGCAAAUGUAUUGAAAAAUAGUUAGAAGUCUAAGUGUUUCACAUUGCUUGUUGUGUACCUCAGAUCUGCCUUCACAGUGGGGAGUGUUUCUAAUACACAAGGGAUGUAUCAUAGACAUAGUUUAAGCUUGGUUGUGGGGUGCUGCAUGAGGGCUGUGCACCACCCAUACAGCUGCGUUUCUUCUGUUCUCUACCAGUGUGGUGUAAAGCCACAAAGGGCCAUUUCAGAUUGCUGUUAAUGAAACUGAUUCAAGACUUGGCUCUACUCCCGUCUUGUUUUUGUUGCUGCAAACUGCCCAUAAACUUAAUAAGAAACUGAGGACACUUGCAAGCCAUUCUAUUGCAAGGCUGCUAUAAACAGCUCUGCCUGUGAAGUGGUUGGUGGUUAUUCCUGCUAAAAAUGCUCCUGGAGACGUGGUAUUUCUGUUACACUUUGUGAUCCCCGCAGAGAACACGUGCCCCCUUUGACGUGAGACUCUGCGGAGUUCACUGAAAGGUUGAGGCUCCCACCUUGCACGGAGACUGGCUUUACAAUGCAGGACAUGUCCAGCUGCAGAGGAAAAGCUAGAGGCUGCUUAGUGAAGUCCCACAGUAGUCAUUACAGCUCCAAAACCCUGAUCUAACCAAGAACCUGUUUUUUCCCACAGACUGUCCAAGAAAUAAUGACUAGUCAGUGAUUGAUUCUUGUUCCUCAUUUCCUUUCAGAUGUUUUGAGGUUAAACAUAAUGCUGUGAUUUGGAAUUCAUGCAGGAACCAGAAGUCUUGUUGCCAUACAAUCCUUCUUCUGGCUUCUCAGCUGUGAACAGGCCCUGCUGCCAGCGGUUUUACCAGAUCGAAUUUUCCCCAGUUUUCUUUUGAAGUGUAAAUUGCACACUGGUCAAAUUGGGUAAAAUAUGUGCUCCCUUCCUCCUUUCCUGUGUCCCAGACUUUCAGUUCAGAUCGUUCCUGCUUGGUGAGAAGUCUGGGCCACAGAUUAUUGCACUUGUUAGACUGCAGUGAUGGAAUUGUGAGAAGUACCAUAUGAUUGACAGGCACAAAAAUGAAUCCCACAGUGUGGAAGUGAUGUCUUUCCACUUCUCUUGGCAGCCUACCAAUUACAGCUGUGCUUUGCUUAAUAGACAGAAUUUCUCAGAGUCUCGGAAGCUGGUUGUGGUCAGUUCUGAAAGCAACGUCUCUGUGUGUAUUCUCUUGAUUCCAAGUUACUGCUGUCCUGAAGGAGGGCCUGUCCUGCUGCUCUCUUCACAAGCUGCCUGCUGGCAGUGUGGCAUUUUGGGGAAAUGUAACUCACAUGGAAUAUGAAACAUAAAUACAGCAUGCUAGGGAUUAUUCUGUGAUGUUUUCAGAUUUGAAAAAUUAAGUGAUUGCUGUGAAAUUCUUAAUUAAAAACAAAUCUGCUGUGUUUAUAAGAAUGUUGUAAUGUGCUGCUAUGGUUAGAAGAACACAGAAGAGAAGGCUUUGUUGAAAUGUAAACACUUCAUGAAUUAUUACUGCAGUGCACUGUCUGAAUGCACUCAUCCAGUGGCACAGUACUCAACAUUCAAGGGAAUAUAACUGUAGCAAAGGGCUAUUAGGCUCAGAUUCAGUAUUUAGGCGCCUAUCUUUCUGCUCCAAGUUUGCUGUAUCCAUAUUCUUUCUUAACUCUUCCCCCAACUCUGCCACCCCUGUUUUUUUGGCAUUUCUGUGAGCUUUUUUCGUCUUUUUAGGGUAGAUCUCUGCAGAAAUAGGAACUGGCAACUUAAUCUGUUUUGAAUGAAUGUUCAUUUGCUGAGAGAAUCGUGCUUGUGAAUUGGAUCUGCAGCACAGUCUCUUUUGCUAAUACCUUGAGAAAAAAUAGCUAUGUCAGCAAAGCUGGGAAGGCUGUGGGAAUCAGAGAAAAUGGUUCCCUCAAAGGAUAAAUAAAAGGACUUUGCUUAUUUGCGUCAGAACAUGAUGUCUAGAACAGAGUUUUAACUGGCUUCAUCACCUGCCUGCAGGCGGUGCACAGUGUGGAAGGGCUGUUGUAGUGGGUGCAGAGGUGCAGCCUGUGCUGAAACAGCUGCCUGAAAGGUCAGAAAUACAAAUACCACUGGGCUCCUUCUGAAAAUCUCACUUAGUGGUUUUGACUGUCCCAAAAGAUAAGGGGUAGAUUUGUCUGGUAUUCCUACUUGGACAGUUGCAGAGGUGAACAGUCCUCCCAGUGCAAGAACUCCUGAGAAAUAGGAGCACAGCAGGCAUUGCUUAGAUGGUUGAGCAGUGGCAUCUGCAGAUUGAACACUGAAAUUCUAGCAAACUACCUUAAAUCUCAUCACAGGGAACAAUGCCAAAUCAUAACAUCUUCAGAGUGAAUCACAGAAAGGUUGGACUGAUUUCAGAAGGAGAAUAAGCUCAACUUUAUAUUCAGAAUUUGCCUGCUGAAAUCUGUAAUUUAGUUCUUUCUAGUAAAGAUUCAAUCAAUGCUUUUGAGCAUAACAGUGUUAAUGCUAUGUGCACAAACUUGAUUUCAGUUUGGGUUUGGAGGAACUUACUGUAAGCAUGGUAAAAUGAGAUGUGAACCAGUCAUCUGAAUACUAGGCUAUGAAAAUAUAAAUAUGUGUCAAAACCAUAGUUCUCCUCAGUUUUGCAAACUGCUGAGUUGGUGUGGAUCUUGCUCAAAUUGUACCCAACACUAAAAUCUUGCAUUUUACAUGUGUGCAGGUGGUACUAAAAGGGAUAUUUCUACAAUUAGGCAGUCCAGGGCAGCGUUUUCAGGCAGCCACUAUCCAGUGCUGAACACCAGAGGGCACAAAGUCUCUAACAGUUGUCUCUUCUGGCUGUCUCAGAGCCAAUUCUUAAACGAGUCUAAAUACUGUAAGGCUUAGGAAAGCAAACUCAAAACUCCACUGGAAAAGCAAAGGGAAAGUAAAUGCACUAGGAGUUUUAGAGGGCAGAAGAAAAAGGGUCUUACUUGCAUCAUGUGCACAGCUGUACUAUGAGAGCUUGUGCCAAUUACUUGUAUAAGGCAUGCACCUGUGUUUUUAGUUUUAAAUGCAAGGUCAUGUGUUAGCAGUGUGCUGCCACUGCAUGUUUAUGGGAGUUGCCUUAUGCAUGAAUGAGAACGUGCUUGGAUUAAGCAGGUCAUUCUGAAGUAGCAAUGAUCAAAAUGACUUCAUAGAAUGCAUUUAUUUCUGUAUGCUGUGCUCUUUAGAAAGAUUGCCUUAGAAAUAAGACAGGAAAAUUUGGAACCACUUAGUUACCCAACUGGAUGAUUCUCUUCACAUAUAAAGCUGUUGUGUUGUCAUAAGUCUGGGUUGCACAGAAUUGCAGGGAAAAAAUACUGGUAAUAAUUCUAAAGAAUUUUCUGAGCCAUAUCUAAAAUUAUUGUGAUGUUAGCCCCUCCUGGCUCAAAGUGAGAAUUUGCAAGUAAAUGCUUGUGAGCUUUCAGUAGAUUUUUCAAAUGAACCUGUUGCCAGACUGUGGCCUUGAACUUUGGGACCCUCUGGGCCUCACAGCAAGCAAUAUGUCUCCCUUUGUCAUGCUUUUGAUGUAGGAAAUUAAGUAUAAUACUACUCUCUGAGUUGUGUGAGGCUGACAGCUUCACAGUGUUAGAAUUAAAUCUGGAAGAAACAGACUUCAGAGAUGACUGUAAUUUAUCAUAUGAUACAACCUCAGUGUAUUUUAUUUUAAAUUUGAGUCUAAAACCAGUGAAUAAAGCUGUAAUCAUCCUGUCAGCACAUCUAACUACUUUCAAAAUUAGACAGUGUUCAGUCUAAGUGAAUAAAAUUUGGUUGUAAUUUCAGGAAUGCCAUUAAACUUCUAAUUAAUUUCUAGGAAGUGAGGCUAGUCCAGUGCUUCCAAAGCAUAUCUACAACUUGGGAGGCUGAGAGUUAAACCCUUGGUGUACCACUGGCUUCCUGCUGGAUGUUCAUGUCAUGGUGCUUCAAGUACAAGGUCCUCAGGGAGGAUUAACUCACUCAGAAAUUUGGGUAGAGUUCUGGAUGCCUGAAAAUAUCCUGAAAGUGUUAUUAGGGGUGCUUACCAUCAGUCUGGCUCUCUCAAGAAGAGGUGAAGAUGAUCUGAGCAAGCUUUUUCAGUCAUGAGGGAAAUCCUUUGCCAGUUUUGUGUGUGAUGUUGGCUAGGUGCAUAUUAUUUUGCACUAGUGAAGAAAGCUAAACUGUUUUGGCCAUGCUUCCACAUUGUUUAGGCAUUUGGUGAGACCAGGUAUGUGGGGCUGCAGCCUGGUGCAACAGAGAGCCAUAACUGGUUGCUGGGGUUGAUUUGGUCUUUUUUUUUCCUCUGGCACACAUGUGUAUUUAGGAUGCUGUAGGCCACAGCCUGCACAUCAGCUUUUUGGGGGAGUGCCAUGAGCUCAGUGUAUGAUGGUAGGCUGCUGACAGAUGAUGGCAGGCUGAAAACCAGAAAUGGAACAGCCUGUGGCUGCCCGCCUCUUGAGCAGAGUGACAAAAAAUACAUUUACCUCUAUGUCAGGUGGCAGCCAUAGCAGGAGAGCUUCUGGCUUGUGCUCUUGGCUUUUUUGCCUGGGACAGUCCAGAUCAGAAACUGGGGCAAUAAUAUUCCUGUUUGGGAACUCCCUGAGGGAUAUAAUGGUAUGUUGGCUGUGGCAGGGCUUCAGGCUGGCUCUGUGCUAGGCAGAGAGGUGGCCGGGCCUCUGGCCUGGCACUGUGUUGGAGAAGUAGAAAACCUUGGAACUGGAGGACAACAUGCUCCCUGAGGAGGAGCUGCCUAGCAGAAGGGUCCUGCAAGAUGGCUCUGCACCACAGGCUGGUCACUCACUGAGCUAAGCUGCUCUGAACCAAAAUUGGCAGUCCUAGGUGAGGAACCUGGCUGCGAGGAGGGGCAGGGGGCCUACUGCGAGUGAUGGGGACAGUCAGAAAAGCUGUCAGGUCUCCCUUGGUCUUAGCACCACCUUGUGCUGGUAAAUAUAUUUCCCUUGGGGAGUCCAUGCUCAGUCAUGCCUUUCACUGGAGAGGUUUCCUCUGGUCUGUUUUGUGCUCCCACUCCAGUCUUUGAAAAUCUGUAGCAAACUGUUAGUAAAAGUGGUGAUUGGCCAUGUCUUCCAGCUCUUUCUGAAGAGGUGUCUCAGAGCAGGAGCAUUUGGACAGUGUGAGCAGAGACUGGAGUGUGUUGGUACAGCUGCAAAGAGUUAUUUGCACUAUGCCUGCCUGUAGCCUAUGCAAAUAGCAGGAGAAGCAAUUCCUUGCUUCUGUAGGACCUGACUUCAUUCAUGUCUAACUGUGUGCACCUGUGCAUUUAUGAAACAUAAAUAGGCUGUAUGGUAGAGUGGAAAAUCUAGUAAGAAGCACAAAAGUACCUGGUCUGUUUCUGGUACCACAAAGGCCCCCAGGAGAGCAUAGCAUUUCAGCAAGCUGGAAAAAUGUUUGGUGUGUGUUACUAGGCAUUUUUCAGGCAUAUUUAAAAACAAAAACACUCCCUUAGAAAUAAUUGUCUUUGAUCUCUGCUACAUUCUAAGCAGCGCCUUUCUGCUUCUAAAGCAGCUAAGAUUCGUUGUGCAACAGAUUGUUACAAAUCUUCUGUUAUAUCAGGAAAGUGGCUGCAGGAAGUGUCUGUCCCUGAAUUCAGUGGUUCUUUUAUGAGUAUAUUUAUCAAGGAGGUAAUGGACAGCGAGAAGCAUUCAACACUGAUGUUAUUCAUCAGCAACACAUCUCUGAAUUUUAAUGAGUUCUCUCUAGGCUUUCAAGAGCCUCCUGUUUUGUUCCCAUAAAGUAUUCUGGCCUUCCUGUAUUCUAGCUCCAUCAUACCCCUCAAGGACUGCUCCCUGCUGCCCUGAGCUCCUGGGGAGGUAAUCAGUUGUCUCAGGGGGCUUAUGGAGCUUCACCCAUGUUCUCCAAGCAGGGGCAGUGGUGUGAAGUCUGUAAAUACAUUUGGGUUUUCAGUUCUCCUUUCUCAGCACUUAAUUUUUUUUUUUCAGACACCUGCCAUUUCAUAAUUUUGGUUUUAAAAAAAAAAAAACAAAAGAUGAUCGUAUGAUAUUCCAGAACUGAUCUGUUCCCAGCUCUCUGACCUUCUCUCUUGUCGACUGUCACUUAAUUUCUUAUGUUUGUCGUAGAUGCUUAUUACUUACAAAUAGUAACUGUGGUGCAAAUAGUAAUUCCGCUUGUUGAAAAAUUUAAGAUUAACUGAAGGAAGGGUCUUGCAUAUAGUGGUCAACCAAAAUUAAGUGUUGGCUUCCUACAGUGUGCCACAGUCUGGGAGAAAAUCAACUAUGCCCCUUAAUGUACACAGCCAUUCUAAAUAAAAACCUACUUCUCUCUAAGAUAUAUAGUGCUCUGUUUCUUCAGUGUCCAUCAGCAUUUUAAAUGCAGCUGCGUUCACUAGGAUGCAUCUAGGCUUGUCUGGACAUCAAAGUCUCAGUUAUUCUGUAAAAGCAAUGAGUAUUCUAGUGGGGGGAGUUGGACAAUAUUUGGUUAUCUGCCUUUUGGCUUCUUUCUGAAAAAUUGUACCACUGGAGUACUCACUGUUGUUUAUAUGAUUUUCAUUGACUUCAGUGAGCAAUGGAUCAGGCUGUAUAAGCACAAUUUCCUCAUUGUUAGCAGCUGUUCAUUGCUUAACAUUGCUUAAGCCACUAUUCAGCUGGCCAUCUGUGAUCUGAGACUUCUCAGACUGCAAGAAAAUAGUUAGCUGUUCCAUUUUAGCAGGAGAAUAUUGCAACUUAUCUUGGGAAUGUAUUUGUACAAGGAUUAAUAAUGUUUUUCCCCAAUAUCUUUUGCUUGUCACUUGCUCAUCUGUGGUUCUAACACGUGUAUGUUAAAUACAAUAAUAGAAUCUAUGCUUUAUACAUUCAAAGAUGUUUUUGUUUUACUAAGAUGCUGAGAAAUUAAUUCUGUUAGCAAUAGGCAGUCCAUAUAAUCAGUAUAUGUAUUAGUUCAUCAGUCUGUGACACUUGUUGGUCCACACGGAACGUCGUAAAAUUUUACAGAAUUAUAAAGAUAGGUCCCUGUCCUGGACCAAUUCAGAAUUAUUUGGCAGUGAGCUAUGGCACCAAAUCAUGACUGAGAGUUUUGGAUAUAGCUGAAUCAAAUGGUGUAAGAGAACUGAAUGUACGUUACUUCAAGUAUGCAUAUGGCUAAGAGUAACCAUUUAGAAGUAGAGUUAUUGUCUUCUAAUAAUUCUCCAGAAAAAAAGCAGCUGUGGAGUUUUGUAUCAAUAAAUCAGCAUUUCAGCAAAGCUGUUGCAUUAUUCUACAUGGAUUGUACCCACAUUCUGCUUCCUACAGGAACUACUUGGAAAUUCCCGAUGACGAAUAUUUCCCUUAACACCGAACACUUUUUAGAAGAGUUAAAGGAAUGUAGUGAGAGACAGAAACAAGGAAUGAAAGAUUGUUUAUGGAAGCUAGUCCCUUUCGUGGACCUGUUAUAUUAGCCCAAGUUAUAAAGUAAUAUAUGUGGUGAGCUUACUAGAAAGGAAGUUAUCAUUUUUGCUUAGGAAUAUUUUAUCCACGUUUAUAAUAAUUCCUGGACUGAAAGCCACUCCUCAGUUUGCUCAUGCAGUAAAGCAAAUGGUGGCAACUCCCAUUUUAGCUUCUGGCAAGUGGUCUUCUGCCCAACACAUGCUUUCAUUCAUGUUUUCACUAGAUACCACCGAUGCACAUCUCUGUGAACUGGGGAAAACCUCAGUUUUCUCUGGUCUCUGAGCUUCUUUCACUUUGAGUUUUUAAUCUAAAACCAGAGAAAUCAAUUUUGCUGUUGCUGUGGAAGCCUAGCUACUCAUUCAUAUGACCAGAAAUACAAAAAUGAGGUUGGAGGGGAGAAAGGUGAUGCAAUACGAUUUCCUUGACUUCCUGAAAACAGGAUUUCGUUGUGCCCAAAUUUUCAACUUUUAUUUAUAAGGAAAAUUGCUUGAAGGUCCUUUCCAACCUGAGCAAUUCUAUGAUUCUAUGAUUUCAUCAAAGUUUUCCAGCCUAUGGGAACUUAACGAGCUUCAUGGAGAUCUCAAAAAGAGUUUUCCGGAUGCCAAAAUAAAUGUCUGACUUCAUCAUUCCCUGGGAGGAGAGCCUGCUGAGCUCUCCUGCAGCAGGAGGGUGGGUCUUUGCACUGCACUAGGAUCUUUGUUGACUCUAUGAAUCCGUCAGCAAAGUUUUGGAGAGAGAUGAUAUACAGGACUGUACCUUGCUCUAGGAACUGCCAAGAGAAGCACAAAGACUCCUUCCUAUAAACAAGACGUGAUACACAAGUUCUCUCUUUCUUAGCCAGCUCAACAGCUCGGAGGCCAUUCCCUCCAUUAGGUGACAGGGAUGGGGGUGAGGGAAUGUUCUUGCAUCCUCCAAAGCAUAUAUUAGAAGAGUUUAAAAUAAUGAAAUAAUGUUUUUUUUUGCCAUAGUCAGGCUUUGUUUGCCAAACCAUUAAGUCUACGUGGUAAGUAAACCUUACAAAAAUGUAAUACAUCUUCUGCACAUUUAGUAGAUGUUGGUAGAGUUAUCCACUAUAGGAAGUUACAUAUCAAACUGUACAGUUUAGAGCCUGUUCUGUGUACUCAGUGAAUCCCAGACAUGUUUAAUAUUUCUCCCUCUGAGGUUUAACAGCGUAUAAAUAACAUUUAAUAAACAACCUUUAACUUUAAACAAAUGUAUUCAGAUGUAUGAUAUCUGCUCAAAUCUCAUGUUUUAGGAACACUUGUAAAUACUGAACUCAUUAAAUCUAGCAGUAUGUCUUUAAUUUACAUGCAUUCAGUUUCUCCCAGCAACAUCAUUUUCAGUGUCACAGCUAAGGAUGCAUUACUUGUGUUAUGAACUGCUGUUUCAAAGGUGAGCAAUUUUGCAAUCAUGAUUUGCAGAUAAUUUAAACUUGCACAUGAAGUUCCUGCCCAAGAGCCAUUUUUUCCCUAAAUGUAUUCAGAGAAAUAGUUUAUUCUUCAUGUUGUUAUAGUGGAAAAACACUGCCACAGUGCUUUCAUUUUUUUGUGCCUAUAAGCACAGUGCUUUAAAAUACAAGCAUGUGAGAUAUAUGCUAGGAUAUUAAGCUACUUUUCAACUAGAAAACUUUUUUUCCAAGUCCCAACACUGCACCCCUCUGAUCAUUUUCAUUUGAGAUCCCACCACCCAAUAUUAUCUUUUAAUUAUCCAUCAUUUUUAAUAUUGCCAAGGAUGGAGCUCUUACCAUUGUCAUUUAAGAUUGUUUGUCAGGUUUCUGGAGAUCUCUGACUGCUCUAAAUGCAAUCCUUAUCCUCCUAGAUAUUGAUCAUUUUCACCUGUGCUGACUUAGAUGGACUUCGGGUGCUCAGCUGCUGUUAGCAUUUGCCUUUGUGUAGUAUUCGUUGGUGUGAAGGUGUAGAGCCUGCUCAGAAUAAUUGGAAAUGAAGGAGAGGUUGAUUGACAGUUCAUCAAAAAUUCUCUCAAGCUAUUGGAGAUACUAACACCAGCUUCAAUGAGUGUUAGGCAGUGAUUUCUUGAUUAUAGACAUAUCUGGAGAUCUUGCAAUUGCUAACCUCAGGAUACAGAUAUCUUCUUGAGUAUUGCUCUAAUGCGUAUGAAAGGACAUUUUGAGUACCAGUUGCUUAUCACUUCUGUUUCAGUAAUGUGCAGUGUUUUUCCUGUGAUUAUAUAAAAAGGGAUUCGUUAGCAUUUUGAUUAGAUUACCAACAGUAAGAGUCUGUAAUUCAGAGACAAAGACAUACAGCUCCCAUACAGUCGCAUAGUAGCUUCCCAAACCACUGACUUAUGACCCUUUUUAGAAUGCAACAUACUGUGUAUCUCUUAUUGCUAAUGAAAUUGUUAAUGGAAGUCUAAAUUCAGUACCCAGAGAGUGUCAAGGCAGCCUUACUUCAUCUAUUCUGUUUGCUAGUGGUUAAGGUAAAAUGUCUAUUCAAUGUUUAAAACUGCCCUUCAGUUGCUCACAAAAAGGGGAACUGUUCUCAGUUCUAUUUCGUGUUAUCCACUGCCUGCUUUGCAUAGAGCUUCAUGGGUAAUUAGGUAGGAAGAUUUUUUUUAUAGUCCCUGAACUACCUAUUCCUUUAGGAGAAAAUUGAAGGCAAUAAUUUUUGGUGGAUUCCAGCUGGUGAAAAGUCCCUUGCCCAGACAUAGCAGUGAAGUGUUACUAAGUUCUGUACUUUGUCUCUUUUGGUUGAAAACCAACCAAAAGCUUUCCUGGAGAAGUUCUCUAGAGAUGCAUGAAGUAAGCAAUGCUCUAAAACGAAACAUUAAUGCCAGUAUGAGUGAAAUGAGUUAGCAGGCUUUCACCUAAGGUGCAGUGGUAGAGACCCUGCUAUUAAUUGUUCAGUUGGCUGAGUUCAAGAUGAGGUGAAAUUACCCAAGGGAGUGGAGUCCAUGUCCAGUUCAAAACUCCAGCAAAUACAUUGAGUGCAUAAGUUAAAACGCUCCCACAAGUGGUGCUGCUGGAGUAAAAUCUGGGAUUUCCUGGAUUAGUUGUCACAAAAAAAGUACAGUGGGAAUUCUGAUGUUUUGUAUAACCAAAAAUGGAGCACUCGCUUUUCAGUUUAAUAUUUUUAGGUUUUUUUCCUCUUUUUAAACUUGAGUCAAAUAAUUCUGUCUUAUAGCAAAACAUAGGCAUGUGUAAUAAUGUGGAAACAAAACACUUCAUCAUUUCUGAAAUGAAUUAUUAUGGUUAGAAAAUAUUGAAAGGAAGCCUUUCAUUGUUGAGGGCAUUUUUUCCUGGUCAAACGUUUUCAUGAAAUCUGACCUGAAAUGGGAAUGGAUUCCUAUUCGUGCCCUCCCUCCUUUCCUCUCAAAACUGUAGGUUUUGGCUAACUGUUUAUGAAAAGAAAAAUGGCCAAGGCUGGCUGUGCUCUUCAUUUACUUUUAUAACCUUUGUCCUCACUGCCAAACAAAGAUUGGUUUCAUAAGUUUCUCAUUGGUGUCUUCCACUUCUCAGACCCUUAGAGGUCAAGGAUCAGCAAGUAGGUGGGAGGAAAGCAAAACUAGUUCAAAGGAAGAAAAGUAAAUGUAAAUCUAGGCUAGUUAUGUGGGUUUUCUUCUUGUUGUGAAAGGGCUGAAAUACUUCACCCCAGAGAUAUCAGGCAUAUCACACAGUUGCCACAGCUGGAGGAGUUAUUCAGCAUUCGGUGAUUUGCUGAAAGUAGUCAAUGUGGGGCAAGCACAAGGCAAGACAAAUUUGUCUCAGCCUCUUUCACUGAAGUUAUGCUAAUGUGUUUUACCUCACAGUCAUGGAAAGCUGCAAGUGAACUCCUCGCAUGCUCGGCUGACAUCAUUGUGUCCUGGUCAUCAGAGAGGAGGAUCUUCCACUGGUUAAACACACUGUGACCUUCAGGGGUGGUGUGAGCAAAGGCCACCACUGCAGCGGGUUGGAGAGUUUUGAAAUAAACCCAAAGGCUGUGUUUUUCACACGUUCUUUGUCCUCCCACACUUCAGCUAGAUGUAAAUACAAAUGAAGCCUGCCUGUAGCAGUGGUGACUACUGCAGACCAAGAAAAAGGAAUGAAAAGACAUAUUAAUUUAUUUUGCAGCAUCAAGGAUACAAGCAGCAUUUUCAGCUCUUUGCAGGCAGUGAUCACAUUUCUCCUGUGUGCUCGUAGCUUGUCUUGCUUACUGCAGGUCCUAGCUUGAGCCCUAGCAGCUGCGGAACGCAAAGGGCUGUGCGUGAAGCAUCUUGAUCAGCUCCCAGCUGGCUGCUGCUGCUCUCCCAGCCCCCUCCGAAUUACCAGGGCUGCCGCCUGGCUCAGAUAUGCUCAGGGUUACGUAUGUGAGCGUCACUUCUGUAACUGUAAUACAGAUAAGAAUUUACCAGUGAUCUUGAGAGAUGUUCCUGACCUGACGUGUGGGAAGGCAUGUGACAGCAGGAUCCAGUGCUGCACUACCAGUGAGACAAACAAACAUGCUCACAUCCAAGUGGUUGCGUUGCCUCGUCAGACCUAGCAAACUGACGACAUCAUUCAGAUAGUCUUUCUUUCUAGAAGUUUCAGAGAACUGUGGGCUAAGAAGAGUUUUAUGCGGACAUUCUCAAUGUUUCUCUAGUUUCUAUGGAGGUUGCCCUUUGUGGAAGGAAGGGAAGGAGGAGGCUGGCCAGAGGCAGACCCUGAACAAAAUGGGAGCUGCCAGGUAAAGCUGAGGAAAAAAAACAAAGCAAGCCUAAUUUCAGAUCUGCAACAUUUUCCCUAGCAAAUGUGUGUGUCUGUUUCAUAAUUGAUUCAUACUUAUCUGGAAGACUGUCUGAUGGUUUCCAUGUAAAGGAACUUCUGGGAAUGGAUUAUCAGUAGGCUAUGUGCAAGGAGGUCAAGCUUUGUCUCUGCAGGGUGUGAGAGCAGCCCCUCCUCUGCUGACAUCAGUCUCUUCUCAAAGAGUUCUGCUGUUGGCAUGCUGUAUUCUCCUGGUCUACAUUCACUGGCAGGAGGAAAGGGGUGGAAGAAGGCUAAAAGAUGCUCUUCUUUAUUAUACCAAGAAGGUGACUGUGAAGGAUAAUCUGAAUGCAGUGUCAGCUGUGGCAAACUCAUGGGUCAAGGAGGAAAGUGUGUGAGAAAUAGAGGGUAUAGAAUCAUGUAUCCAUGAUGAUGAUAAAUCACAUUCAAAGACAUGGUCAUCUGAAUGCAGAUAGGAGAGGAACUAGCCGAAUAAAAUCAGAGAAAAGGAGUAGAUUUGGCAGUGUGUUAUUGCUAGCUGCCUGCUGCUGGGGCUCCCACAGCUUUGUGGCUAAGGAAGCCCCUGGGGGUCCUUGGAUCCAAGUGUGGUGGGAUGCAAGUUCUCCUUUAAUGCCAGGAUAUGGGGUCUUAAUCCAUUUCUGUGCAGGAUUUUUUUGUUGUUGUUCUCCUGGCUGGUGAUGCCAUUCCUAAAGUAAUUCAAGUAAAUGAAUACAAUAUGUUUGGUGAGUAUCUUACUGUAAUUAAGAUUCCCAGUUGGGUUUCUCAUUUAAGCAGCAGGAUGGUCUAGAGAAUUAAAUUAAAAAUUGGGAACGCUUCUGUCCUAAUCUCGCUCUGUGGAGUGAUUCAUGUUGCAUGCAGGGCUUGUUCACUAAGACCAACGCCUCCAGGCUUGGGUGCCUAAAGAUAGGUGCUUGGAUUUGCAUUUAGGCUCUCAAAUGAAGACUGUUUACUUUGCAGAGGUGCAGCUCCCUGAGAAGGAAAUGAGUUAGUAGGCAUUUGGCCUGUCUGGAAGAUGAGCCGCGCUUUAGGCACCCAAGCAGUAACUUUACCCUUUCAGGGGCACAGUUCACUCAGGUGAAAAUAGUGACAAAUGCUUUGCUGCUUCACAAGAGGAGAGUGAGGCUGAGUUGCUGAAGCUAGCGCUGCAGUGGCAUUUUGGAAAUAAAAAAAACUGUUGGUGUGUAUGUGCCUGACAGCAGUAUUCAUAGGAGAAGGAGCAUAAAUUUAUGAUGGAGAAGAGAAUAAAGGCAAAAGAAAACUUAAUUCUGAUUUUCCUGACUUAAUUGUAUGUUUAAAUCUCAGCCUUAAUGAGAGUCUAAAUCUCCAUCAAUUAGUAAAGCUUUUUCUUUUCUUUUUCUUGCGCAAUAUGGAAGAUAAUGAAUAGUCAAGUGUGAUUUAUAAGGGGAGAAAAUCUACCAGCAGGGUUUGCUGAAUUAAGCAAUUGAGUGGCAUUCCUGUGGAGUGGUUUUACAAUGUCACUUGAACCCCAUGGUUAAGCAGUUUCUAGGUAACUGGAGGCAGGUCUGUUUUCCAUAAUAUAUUGACUCAGCCAGGGACUGAAAACACACACACACACACACACACACACACACACACACACACACACACACACACCCUCAAACCUUGCUGUAUCCAUUGCUGCGAAAAUAAUAGAGCCUGUUUAAGACCUUGUGCAUAUUUUCAUGUCAAGCAACUUUUAAGUGGCUUGGUAUAUAAAGAAAAGGGAGAGUUGCUUGGCAAGUUGUCCCAAAUCAUACAUGCUUCUUGAUACAAGGAAUUUGCGAGAGAAAAUGUAUGCUCUGUUAGAAGUGCAAGAUUCAGAACAAGAUGAGAAUUUUGUUUGGCUCCAGAACAGAGCUAUGGGGGAAGCAGGCAAUGAAGGAAGUGCAAUAAUAAUGAACACAGAGGGAGGAGAAAUAAGCCUCGUUGUGAGAGGACAGAAAGAUGGUGUGAGGCUGAUGAAAGUGGGCACAGGUUGGUAAACACGAGGGAGUCAUUAUGGGAGGGAGCGAAGGAGUUGCUGGAGGCUUUGGGAGGUAGAACUUUGUGCUUAGUUUGGUGAAGCCCCUGCAAAGGGUUGGAAGGAAGUUGGAGAUGGCAGCAAAGCACAGACAAAGCCAAACUAUAAACAAACUGAAAACUUUUCUUCAAAGUAGUGCCAGAUGCUUCUGGCAGUCCUGCUGGCUCACGAGUGCUGGGAGUUCACGACACUGUUUGCACUGUCUAUAUUAUUCCACGGAUGAUGCUUAGAGGAGGGAAAUCCUGCCAGGCUGAAUGACUGUUUAUCCUAGACUGGUUGUAGGACACUACAUAAGGAGGAGUUUAUCACCUUUUGCCAUAACAGCCAGGAUGGGAAAGUUAAAGAAAACUGCCUUGACAAAUCAAUUUUGGCCUCUGUUAGGGAUGCAAGAAGCUUAGGCUGUGUAUGUGCAGUAGUUAAAAUGAAAGGGAAAUGCAAGCAUGUUUUUACUCCUUAUUCAGUCACUUCUCGCUGUAGGCAAGCUGACGAAAUGUUGGAUGGCUGCAUUUCCAAUAAGGAGGGAGCUGACACCGUGUCUGUUGUACCAUCUGUUUACCAGCCAUCAGUGUACUGAAGAGGAGCUUCAGUGAGGAGUGGGAAAACUUCCAGGGUUCACAGUUGUGUUUAACUGCUUGAAUGCCAGCAAUGUGAAGUCAACAUGUUGGCAAGCCUCAGGUUUUCAGAGCUAUAACUACUGCACAUAGAUUCUCCUUUUCAGCUAGCACAGCUUUUCUGCCAGCAUGCUUUUACUCGCUGCUGUAGUGGAGGAAACCUGGUCCUUUCUUGCCAGGCUGCAGCAGGAUGCUUUCCCUAUCUGUUUUUAAACUGCUCUGUGCUGAGAGUCUGUUCCCAGUGGAGAAAAGAAACCCCACAACCUUGCUAACAGCAGUAUCAAGAAUAAAGGCUGGAGAAGAAAGCUGUUUUGCUAUGCCUAUUGGUCAUCUCCCCCAUACAGACAAAGCUUUUGUUGAUGUGGCAUGCUGCUGUUGUAGCAAUGCUGGAAUGUCAGUAAAUAGUGAAUUAGUGGUGUGAAAUUACCAAAUACAUAAUAACUAAAAGCUUGAAAGAAGCUAGCAAUAGCAGUUCAGCUGUUCCCCCCUGGUUUGCAGUUCUGCUUUUAGAUUGCAACAAGCAAGCUCCAGUGAACUCCUCAAGUCACUUUUGGAUGAUUUCUGUUUAGUUUCUUUUCUGUCAGCUUUUCCCACUCCAAAGCUGACAAAGCCUGGUGGCUGGUAACAGUCUUGAGUUGAAAGCUGCAGGUCCUCCACAUCCCUAGGGAUGAGAGGUCUCUGUAUCAAAGCUUUAGAGCAGGAGGAGGUAUAGCAUAUGAAUUUUCUAAGUAAAAAUUCUGACUCUGUAGGAGGACUAGCAGAAUUAGCUUCAAGCUGAUAAAGAUUCUAAACCCAGGAGGAUGGUACUGACUACCUUUGCUUUUUGAAUACUUAAUUUCCUUAUUAAGUCAGUGCAGCUCAAUUAUUUUUGCCUCUGUCUUUGAGUGUCAAAACUUGGGCAGGCUGUUACAAUGAAACUUGGAGGGAAGUUUUCAUUUCUUGCAAAACUUUUUAGAUAUGGAAAAUCCUCACCAAUCCUUGCAGUUAAUUUCACUUUCUUUGAACACCAUCUUUGUCAGGUGCAAGGCUAUGCCUUCUGCUUUUCUCUAGUCUAAAUUUCCUUAAUGCCUGUUUACCCUGGCUUGUAGAUGGACCAUGCUACAGAUCAAUUCUGUUGAUCCAUUAGAUCCAGAUAAUUUCAGAUACUGCAGUUCUUCCUCCUUGCGUAUAUCUGGACCGGUGAUCAGGACCCAUCUGUCCUGCAAUAUCUGUGGGGCAGAUGUGAGCUCAUUCUACACGAAAAGCUGUACAGUGGCACUUAGUGAGCCACUGUGCCCCAGUUAAUAGACCUGUUUGUGAGACAGGAUGUAUGUUUUCUGCUUGAGAUUACAUUAAGAGAGCCAAACAUCUUCUAGUGAGCUCAGGACUGAGCAGAGCGAUGUUUAUCAGCAGAAUAAAUUGAGCUUCAAGUGAUGGCUACAUGGUAUCAUUUACUUUAGUAGUACGCUGAGACCUGAUAUUUUAAAACAGAAAGUACAUGAGUAAUAGUUCCUGAGGCUCUGCCGUUCUGUGAAGAAUAAACCAAACAGGCUUACAGGUUCUCCUCUUUGUUUUUCCUUGGGCAACUGUAACUCCUUUCCCCUCUGAGGGAGGCCCUUUUAAACACUGGAGCCCUUUGAUCCUUGCAUGCACAUGGUUGUCUUCUGGCACUGUCUUAACAACUCUCAAAUGCUUGCAGAGAAGAGGCUUUUUUCAUGACAGUCUGUUUCCUUCUUGCUUGUAUCUCCUUGAAAGUCGUUGUAAACUAGUAUAUACAAAGUGAACGUCCACUGGACAAGGUUUCUUGUGCUUGUUAGUUAUCACAAAUAACGCUUGUCUUGCAGGUAUUAAACAAAGCACAGCAUUCACACAGAGGAGCUCCUGCUCCUUCCCAACAGUUUCUGUGGUGUCCUCCUUUAAAAAGAAAGUAAUAUUUAUUGGGAUUUGAGAUCCUUGCCUAAAAACAGUAACUGAGUGCUUCUCCACCUCCCAAGGCACGUUUAGUUUGACUACCAGGCUUUGCUUUGCUAUGGAGUUUGUAUAGCUAGCCACUCAGCACCAGUCAGCAAGAUGGCCUAUACUUAUGAUUUUGCUGAGAACGAAAUGAAAGAAAAACAAAAGAAAAACUUGACUGCAGUCUGUUGUGAAUGACUUUUUGCUCUGUGCUAUAUGUAAUGCAUCUCCUGUUAGUGUAAUCUUUUUCUUCCUCAAGGAACAGUUGGAAUCUGUUUUAAAGGCCAUUGUUCUUGGCAGCACAGAAACAUAUGACUUCUGUUCCAGGUCUUUGGCUUCACUUCCCAGCUUGCCCUGCAAUGAUCAAGGAACGUCUUUGUGCAAAGCCUCAUACCAUUGCUCUAGCACACGGGUUUGCCAUACAACACAUCUCACAGUGCCAAACCAUGGGAGUGUGUGAGUUGACAGAUCAACCAGAAUAAGUUCUAAAAAUGCCCUAUUGAUAAUUAUGGGCUACUGAUUUGUGUAUAUAUUAUAGAGGAGGAUGAUUUUCUUUCUUCCUCUGACAGUUAUGUAUACAUUUGAAUACUGACUUACGCUGGAUAGUACAGAAGAACUGAAACCAAUUCCUGGAAAGUACCCCACCCAUUCUGUUAGCAAGUCUUCAGCUGAUGGGAGAGGAGUUUCUGCACCCACGUAGACAUGGCAUGGUAAAUCAACUGAAAUGUACAUACACCAUUCAGCAUUUUGCCCAGGGGCAAAGUUGUAAAAAUUGUCUUGAGGGAUUCACUCUCCAUCACUGAUCACUUUUGCACUAAUCUUAUCUAUACAUGUGUGGAAAAAUGGAUGGAAAGGCAAGAGACUUGGCUUCUAUCUUCUCAGCUUAUUCCUGGUGCCUAGCAUGUCCUCAGAAGCUCAUAUCUCCAUGUCACCUGCUCCAGGAAACUGCACACCACUCCUGCAAAGAGCAGCCUUUGCUGGCCUGGAUCCCUGCCAUGCUCACUGAUGUACAGUGGUUACAGGGGAGCCAUGUGGUCGCUGGGCCCUCCUCAAUCUGCAGCACUGCUGCGACCUGUUGUUUCCAUGGGGCGUAUGAGAUACUGCAGCAGCAGCAGCAGGUAGGGGAUGUUGCAGGCAGGUGGGAGCUCCCAUGAGGCAGUGAGGAGCGGAGCAGGGAGGGAGAGGCAGGGACAUAGGCUGCAAAUCUGACGCAAGCCCUGCCUUGCUCUCCUCCCUGCCCCCUACCUUGAUAUUUCAUUGCUGUGGUGUGUUUUGAUUCAUGAGCUUUUUCUCAGCUUGCUGCUGAACUGGGUGACUCAGAGCACAGUUCUAUAAAGGCUUUAUUAAUGGAGAUUAACGUCAGCACGCACCUUUUGUUUGUACAUGGCUCUUCUUUUCUCUUCACCACCUCCCCUCCCUAAACUUCCUGUCUUGUAGAUGUUUGAAUAGUAAGCAUCUCUUAGGAGAGACAUGACUGUGUCCUUGCCCCUUCCCUUGUUGCCAUGAAAGUAGGCAGGUUUCCAGAGAAUGGAGUUCAAGUGCCACCAGCUACCUCUGAUUAAAUCUGAAGAGCAGACUACACGUAAGCUGAAACCUCCUCCAUCGUGAAGGACUGCUGCUACUGUCAGAGCUUGUGCUAAAGAUCUGUGAUAAUGUUCUGCCUCAGAGGGAAGAAGAAAAUACUGUGGUUUGGAAAGGCAGCCCUGGGGCCUGUCCUGUGUUCAAAAGGGUCUGGGGGUAUUUUAGCCAAGAUGUUACAAUCGGCCAAACAGAAAGCUGCAGAUUGCAGUGCCUUGCAGUGUAAGAAUGCCAGUCAGCAACUUGAAGAGUUGAAAGAGGAUAUCUGAAGGGGACCUGAUGGUAUUCUGUGCUGGCAUGGCUUCACGUCAAGUAUUGUAUGUGAUUUGGAGCACCGUAAUAUAAGAAGGACAUAAAAAUAUGAGAGAGCAUCCAGAGGAGGGCCACGAAGACAGUGAAGGGUCUGGAGCAGGGCAAGGCAUAUGAGGAGUGGCUGAGGUCUGAGGGUUUUCUGAGCCCAGAGCAGUGGAGCUGAGGGGAGGCCUCAUGGAGGCUGCAGCUCCUCACAGGGAGCAGAGGGGCAGCAAUAUGCUGAGCUCUGCUCUCUGGUGACAGUGACAGGAUCCAAGGGAAUGGCAUGGAGCUGUGUCAGGGGAGGGUCUGAUGGGAGUCAGGGACAGGUUCUGCACCAGAGGGUGGUGGGCAUGGAGCAGAAAGUGAUCAUGGCCCCAUGGUCCUGGAGUGCAAGAGGUGUUUGGGCAGUGCUCUCAGACAUAGGGUUUGAAUUUUUGGGUGGUGCUGUGUGGAGCCAGGAGUUGGACUUCAUGAUCCUUGUGGGUCCUUUCCAACUUGAGAUAUUCUGUGAUUCUAUUAUUCAGUUUCCCUACCAAAAUUGCAUAGUGGAAGUACUGACUUCUACUGUUUUGGAGCAGAGAGAAAUGUAGCCAGCUUGUCAUCACUGCUCUGCUGUGUGAUUCCUCCAGUUUGCUCAUGUUGAUUCCUGGGGUGGAGGAGACAAUUCUCUAGUCUAAAGGAGGGAGAGGCUUUGGUUUUAGUUUAAUCUGUUUCAUAGUGUCAAGAGAAAAAAUUAAAGACUGUGUAGCUUUUGGAGUUAGUGAGGGCACUUGGAAUGAGAUCUCUUUGUAUGGUUAGAGAUAGCUUAAUUUUCUAAAAAAUGGCCUAGCAAACUGUAGCUGAAAGCCACUGUCGUGCUAAGGUGCUUUGGCAGUUUGUAGCCAAGGUGUUUUUUGUCUUAAUCCAGCUCGGAUAAUUCCUUCCUUAGCAGCAGAAAUAUCAUCACCACUUGAGUCCUCUUGGCUAUCUUAGCACCAGAGAAGUGCAGUGGGAGCCGCCAGUGCUCUAUCUUUCCCCAGUGAUAGCCACUCCAGGUCAGUUGUGAGGCACUUUAGAUGAGCAGCAGGAAGAAGACUGUGCUUGGUCAUUACAUUUACUCUUUCUGAACUGCCAAUCCAACACUCUCGUUUGCACUGGCUUUUGUGUUAUUGUUAUUUUUUUAUAUUAAAAAAUCAGUAAUAAAAAAUUAUAUGUCUGUACCAAGUAAAAUAAGAAACAGGAUACUGCAGGAAGUAGGUGAGACAUAGUUCAUGCUGUGAAGUGUAGCCUGUUUUAACAACCAGUCAAGUGAAGUAUUGCUACGUAGCAAUCCAAAAAAAGCAAGGAAGGAGUACUGCCACAGCAACAUAGAUUAUGCUUAAGCAACCCAAUUAAAAAGAAAAGAAAAAAAAAAGAUCAAGUGAGAGAGCAGCUCAAUAGGACUGUGUGGUUGAUGUUCAGAGAUGUAAAGUAAACAGACCUGCUUACAGUGCGUCAGAGGGAAACUAGAUAGAAAUGCUAAAAAUGAAUAGUUGAGGCUGGAUAAUGUGCAUGCAAACCAAUUGACAGGCAUGAGUUCAGAGAGCUGCUUGACCACUAAGUCAAAAUAAGCAUAUAAGGUAGGAAUGAAAAACUGAGUGGGAAAUAUAUGGGUAUCAUGUUGUCUGGAGACACUCAGGCCCACAGUCUGUCUCAAAAUGAAAUGGUGUCUUUGGGUGGCCUCUAAAGGGAGAAAGUAAAUAAACCAUAGGUAAAUAAGCCACAAAAGUGUAUUUCAGCCUCUGAGAAUGCUUUGAAAUCACCACCAGAAUGUUGCAAAAUGGCUACUUGGGCCUUUUGCCACAGGUCUGCAACACUUGUGAGCAUGCCAACUGGACAGCAGGCUUUUGUGCUAGACAGGGACAACUAUCAAAUUACCAAAAUUAUGAAUACAGCCAUCUAAUAACUGGCAACAAACAAAAUAGCUUCUUGAGUCUUUUGUCCCUGAAGUUCAGGGUGAGGCAUCCAAAAUUUCUUGGAAGUAUUUAUGUGGUUGCCUUGUUCUGUUGCUUUAUUUCUGAUGCUUUAUUACUGUAGGUGUUCCUUUCUUAGCAUUAUAAAAUUCUGUGAUAUGAAGAUGAAGAAUUUGCUCUUUCAGUCUGAAAAUUGAAAGGGUAGGAAAAUGGAGAGAGAAUAGAUGCACAGAAGCCUACUAUUCCAUUUUUGUUUCCACUGAACUUUUCAAAUCAAUUUGAAAAUUUUUUUGUGUGGAAGUUUUAGCCCAUUCCUUCUGUAAAGCUACAUGGGUAUAAUCAUGGGGAUGAUGCACGAACUGCCUCUAGAUUUCUCUGCACCAACAUUUUAGCAGCUCCUGAAAUUUUUUCUUGUCAAGACUCUUGAUACUUGAUUCUUCAGAAGAUCUCUUUGAAUGAAGGAUAACCUCCAAUGGGUGUUUUUUUUUGUCCCAUUACUUAAAAAAAAAUUCUGAAAGUCUGUAAUUGUGUAUAGAUACACAUGCAGAUAAGAUGAGAAUGUGUUCUAAAUUAAAUAGAAAAUAAACUCUAGGGGUACAUGAAUGGGGUGAAAGGUGUAAAAUGAAAUCUGACCAGAUCUCUUCGGUGCCUUUUUCUGGGGUCAUAUAAUAAUAUAAUAAUUCAGAUUUGGACUUCAGGAGGUCCCUAAUCAAACUUCCUGCUCAAAGCAGGGUCUCAGCUCUCAGAUGAGACCAGCUAGCUCAGGGCUUCAUCCACUGACUGCACAACCCCUCUAGACAACCUAUUCCCAUGCUGUCAUUGUCUCUAUAGCUAUUUUGUUCAAAAGCAGAUUGUUCUUCUGAAAAAUAAAUGUACAACAUAUUUACACAUUCUAAUGAAAAUGUGGCAGUUAGCUUAGCCCUGGGAAAACAGCAGAACAGCACGGUAAGGGCAGAUAGCAAAGUCAGUGGUUGCUUUAGACAACUGACUGGCUAACGUUUUGGUAGAACCUGGGAAUAGACUUGCUGAACUUAGUUUUGGGAGUUGGAUACUAGAUUUUUCAGCAUUAAAAACCUGCACGUUACAUAGUCUCAUGGAGAGAUGCAAUACUUGUUACUGCAGUGGUAAUUGGUAGUAUCAAAUAUUUUUUUAUCUUGGUCUUCUAAAUACAUUCAAGUAGAUCCUUUUGUCACAACAUUUGAACCAGCCCUUCCAGGGCCUCCAUUCUAGCACUUCUUCAAACUGGCCUAGAGAUACAUGCAUUGUGUGCACUUCAGUUGAAAACAGCUGCUAGGAAUCUUCAUCUCUUUGUAUGAUUUUCUUUUCCUAAUAGGUGAUUCAUGUAUCUGUAAAUACAGGGAAAUAUUUGUACUGUCAUCCUUUGGUGUUAGAGCCAAAUUAUGAGAGUGAUUCCUUAGUCCAUUUUUCCACAUAAGGCAGACACAGAGUUCUCUAAUUUGUGUCUCAAGUCUCUAACUUCCAUUUGCACUGCUGCGGCUCUUUGGAAAGACAUUCAGAAUUGACUUGCAGGCAGCAGAUGAUGAAGAAUUCUCUGAACUUAUUGGUAAGAUUUUGUAGUGCAAAACUGUCUUUGCUGUGAAAACUUUACUCAGAUGAGUUUUCAGUUCUGUAAACACAGUCUUUCAAGGACAUUUUUACUAAUUCUGAUUUUUACUAAUUUCAUUUCUAUGAAAAAUAGGGUAAUUUUGAAAUUGUCAUGAAAAUGCGUCCCAUUUCCUGUUGGCUUGUUUAUCUCCUCAGUACCAUGUUUUGACAAAAUGCUGCAUGAAAGAAUUCAAAUAUUUCAUGAUGUUAGAAACUAAAAGGAGCCAGUAAUAAGUUCCAAAUAUUGUGUUUAUUAAAAUGAAGCAUUUUAUUUUCUCAAAAUGCAAAUAAAAUAAUUGUAAAAUGUUUUGAUCUUUUAUUUCCUAUUAGAAGAAGCUGUUGCAGCAAGGCAGUGAAAUGCCGCCAAAUCAGUUAUAGAUUUUACUGGAAUAUGCACAGAAGUGGCACAAGCUUCUGUAGGAGAAGCAGAAGAUGCACUGAAAGAAGUUAAUGGUUUUAGCUUUAUAUAGUUUUUUUUUCUACUACUAAUUUUUUCUCUGGCUUUCCAGUUUUUUCAUGUUAUGUUUUAUGUUUUCUUUCUCUGGGUGCUUACUGUAUUAUUUCUUUUUUUUUGAAAGUAAACAAGAACAAAAAACAAAUGCCUGAAAAAAUCUAGUCAGUAGUGGAUGAUGGGAAAAUAAAAUUUGAAUGAUGUGGAGUUCUUUAGGAGUAUUCUUCCUUAGUGAUUAUGAAAAUCAGAUGGCAUAGUCAAUUCCAAAACUGAAAACAUGACUAAUGGUAAGAAACACUUGAUAUUCUGUAUGAGUACCUGUAGUGCCCUCCUCCACUCUCAUUGCUCAGUAGAAAAAAAAUUAUUUUAAUAAGGUUAGUUACAGCAUUUCUUCUGGGAUACAUACCAUGACUGCUUGAAUAUUGAUAACAAAAAGGAUUUUUGAUCUUUAAAUAUCUGGUACCACUGAUUGAAACUCAAAGUUAUAAGUCAAAUCCAGACUAGGUUGUGACCAUCUACACAUUGAAAUUCAGGUCUGGGACAUGCAUUAAAAAAUUGAAUGUUAUUAGAAUCUGAGAAUUUGACACAAUGUAAUGUAAUAUAUUAAAAAAAAAUUAUACUAUGAUAAUCAGUAUAGAGGGUAAAAUUCCACGCAUCUACCAAGGCUCAGAUCCUUUUCCCAAUGCAUUAGAUAGUACUUUUGUAAACUCUCUCAUCCUCACACACUGUGAACAAGUAAAGGUAAAUUUUUAGAAAGAUUAUCUGUUCAGCCAUUUUCAAGUGUCCACCCAAAGGCUAUGGUCUCCAGUGCUGUCUUUUGUAAGUAUCAAGUUAUUCAACAAGCAGAAAAUUCUUCAGAAAUUCCAUCUAUGAUGUAAUAUUUAGUGUUCUAAAUGGGUCUGAACAUGCAUGGAUUUGCCGUUGGACAGAUACUGAGUAUAAAAUGCUUCUGGAGCUUAGAGAUGAUUAAUAGUUAAUAAGUAGCUUGUAACAGUGGUCUGGUUAUGUACUGCUGGUAGGGAAUCACUGGCUCUCUCCAAAGAAAGUUUAGUUUCUCAGAGUGGCCUGUCUGCAAAAUAACUGAACAGGGUACAAUAAUUUUCUCAUUCUGGUGCAUUCACUUCUUGAUUAAAUUCUUCUUUGCUGCUUAAGAAAAAUAAAAACAAAGCUUUCAUGAGAAUUUUAUUAACUGUAUAAUAUAGCUAUGCUUUGUAUUCAACUAUCUAUCUUAAUAUUUUAAUCAUGAGUGUGAAAAAAUGUUUGAAAUUACUUGGGAAACUUGUCAGUAAAUUUCCCUGAAUAGUAAAUUUCUCUGAAAUCUUAACAUUUCAUAUAUGAGAAUGCGUUGCACAAAAGCAGAAGGCAGGCAGGAAAUGAAAAAAAGCUAGUGGAGAUCCUUUGUUUAAAAAAAAAAAAAAAUUGAUUUGAUGUCGAAUCUGAAGCAGAUGUAGGUUCAGAGUGUGUGUAGUGACCUGGAAAAGGAGCUGCGUGUGGGACUUCUACUUUGGGGAGCAUCAGUGAGCUGCUUUAUGUUGCACAAACACUUGAAAUAUUUUAUUUUUUCUUAUUGUUUUACUUCUUUUUUCAUGAUUUCCUUUCAACUCAAGAACACUAAGAUUUUUUUUUUCUAUUUUUACGAGGCCUACUUGGAGGGUAUGGGCAGUAGAAAGACAGUUGGAAGGGCUGAUCUGAAGGGCUGUAUUAUUGAAGAAAGAUAUAUUCAAGUUAUCAGAGGUAGAAAGACACUGAUUAAAGCACUUGUCUGUGUUUCUAAGGUACAAGUUUUAUGUGAUCUUGUAAAAAGAAAAGUUCUCACCAGAAGCUGAGGGAACUAAUGCUUGAUAGUAUUCUUUAUUCUGUCUCAUUUCUUAAGCAUCUAAUAGCUCAGUUGAACAUACUUAAUAAAACUUGUGGUUUUUGUUUUUAACAAUGGUGGAAAAAAAUGGAAAACUCAGAAUUACACCUCAUUUUCCAAAUAUGUUUCAAAAAAUGACUUUCGGAGAAGUGGUAUUAUCUCAUCGUUUCUUGUGUGCCUGACUAUGCUUUACUCAGAUUUCACUGUGUAAAUGUUGUCAUCGGCAAAGGAAUUUGGGGCAGCAUGAAGAAAAUACUAGUCCUGGUUAGGUAAACGUUCAUUGUGUGUGCUAUAUGUGUGUUUCUGAUAUAAAAUGAUUACGCAACAAAAUCUUCUGCAAGUUGUAGGUAGAACUGAAUAUCUCCAUGUAAUUAUUAAAUAAGCAUAUUAUUAAUUUAGUAGGAUGCUUUUGUUCAAGGAGAUGCAAGUUCCUUGAACUUGAAAUGCAUUUUCUUUAUUUUCAUUUGGUAAGCCAUGAAGAAAACUUUGUUAAUGCUUUUAGAGUAUGCAUUGUAUUUAUUAAAGGCAAAAAAUGAAUUUUCUAGGUGAUUCUGUUUGAGCAGUUUUCUCAGAAAACAGCUUUUGGCCUAUGUGGAUUUCUGUCUCCACAAAUUAUCUGUGAACUACGUCUCAUGUUUGUAAACAUCAUCUUCCAAAACAGCUCCAAACUAGGCCUCUCAGUUAUUUGUGAUACUCAGCGUUAAGGUAUAGGCAUGAGUUGCUGUUAUCUUUCUGCUCUCUUGGAGUUCAACAGUUGCAUUUGUGUUAAAAAUAAUAAUAAUAAUACAAAAUUUUGGUUCCCUGCCCACCUUCAGCAAAAAUCUACAAAUUAAUUGUGUUCUUUUUCUAUGUUGUAUGAUUGUGUAAUUAGUUGGUGAUAUUUUUAAUGGAUAAAGCAGUAUAAAUGUGCUUUUUCUGGACUACUAGGAUAAGAAACUUAUUUUCUGCCAGUGAAGCAAGCUGAUUUCAUUUUGAAUAUGAAUGUAUGUAGAGAGAAAGUGUAAUUUUGUACAGUAUUUCUAUACAGUCACUUUCUGGACCGCUGAACAAUAAAAGCUGAAUGAGGGUGAGAGAUGUUAGGAAAGAUCAUUUAUAUCUAACAUAGGAAUUGAAUAUAUGCAGCUUCAGAACUGCUGAUUUUGGUGCUGAAACCAAAUACUUUCAGUUAGGUUACUACAGUAGAAGUAGUCUUUAAAUGCAAUGUUUUAAGCAUUUAAGAAUUUUGUUUGUUUUUCUGUUUCAACUUGGGACAGCACAAAAAAAUCUACUUAAAAAACUACUUUAUAACGCUAUGCUUCUUUUUAUUUGCAAAUACUUCCUGCAACAGAAAUAUGAUGGCUUAACUUUAUUUCUAAAUACCUAGACUUGAGAAUCUAGGGAGUAAAUAUCUCCUUGAGUUUCUCAUCAUUGUCAAUCCAAGUUAGUUGUUCCAACUUUGUCUAUUUCCAGAUGGUUUUGGUAUCCCUUUCCCCCUUUCAUCACUAAUUAAUUCUGACAGCUUAGGUAUUGUCGAUGUUAAUUAUAUCUAGACCAUAAAAAAGGGCUUAGCCUUUUUGUGGGUAGGUUUUUAUCAUUAUUGCUGAUGUCUGGUGAAAGCAUUAGAUUACACUGCUUACAGUUAACAACAGGUGCAUAUUUCUUCAUCUUUUUGUCCUCUGGCCUGUGUUAGUUGUAUGUCUUUUAUUACUAAUUUCUUUCCCUGUGGAUAGCAGAGUAAGGAGAACUAAGCAGAAGGCCUCAUACUGCAGUAAUAGUAUCACACGAUGAGUAGUUUUGUGGGUACUGGGGAAACAGAGUGUAAUUUCUCUUGAAAUGUGUCUUUGUUUAGAACUGUCAUACUGCUUGAUAGUGGUGCUCAUUAAUAGCUCCAUAGAGCAUUCUGUAGUGGCUGUUCUACCCUGCAGAAAAUUAAAAAUUGUUAGAAAUUUCUUAUCAAACUGGGGCAAUAGUGCUUUUUUUUUCCCUCCCGUUUCUUUUAAUGAUGGUGGCAGAUGACAUCCCUUACAAAGAAAUCCUAACCUUAUGAUUUGGUGAACGUACAGGUUGCAGGCAUAUCAGAGUAAGACUUUACUGAAGGCUUGCCUCAAGUUACCUCCGUACUGCUAAAUAAAAUAUCUCAGGGCUAGUUAUAUCCCCUUGGCUCUGAGACCAAGUGGCACAGACUGCCAUGUCUGUGUUUCAUUGCCCCAGGCCCUGCAUCUGAUGUGAGCCUUGUGCUGCAGCCUGCUGGUCCCAGGACAUCAUCAGAUUAGUGCCUGAGUGGUGGUUUGGGGGAGGAUCUGCUCUCAGGUGACUUCUGGCACUUUGGUCCACAUUUCAGCCUGCUAGUUUUCUAGCAGAAGGCUGAGGUAGGGCACUGCGUGCCCUGGGCUGUGGCAUGAGAUGUUGCUUUGUAGUUAAAAGUUUGCUAGGCAGUGCUGGAAGGCUGUGGUGCAGAGGAAACCAAAUACAGUGCAGGCUUGCCUACACUCUCCCCUGGGAAUUGCCUCAGUGUAUGUUCUACCCCAAAAUGUGCUCUGUGCUGUGCUAGCUGGCAGAGACCGCAGCUCUUCUAAAGAGCAUGCCAGUGAUUAAGGUAGCACAGGGGAUCAGUAGUCCCAUGCUCAAGCUCACUUCCUGGUCUUAGCUAGUUUGUCAGUAUAGACAGAUGUAAGAGUCUCACCUCUGUGGUAGAUUUCCACAGGGUCUUUGCAAAUAGUCUCUGGAAUAUAUAUUCCCUUCCCAGUUGGACAACAUUUCCUUCCCUGGCUGACAAGAAGGGGAGCUCUAGCCCCUUCCAGUGCCAGCAUUUGGUUGCCUCUGCGGUAUGGAGAACACCUGGUUCUUAAGGGGGAUCCUAACAGCUAAGAGAGAUGAGAAGAUACUCCUGGGGGCUAGGUAGGGAUGGAGUAUCUUCCAUUCAGAGAGCUAAGUCAGUCCUAAGCCGUGACUAAGUAUCUAUUCUCACCCCAUCAUUCAUCUAGCAUGGGGUCUACUCCAGAUGAAGCCUUGAUGAUUUUAAUAUCUUCACUCCAUUCUGGAGCUUCUCCAGUGAUACCUGUGGCAUGGAGGUAUUCUUCCCUCACUGUAUAAUUGCAAAAAGGUUGAAAAUUGUUGAUUAAGGCAACCAUCAGUGCUCAGAUUCCACCCAGACUUCUGUAUUUUAAUGACUUUCAGCAAAAUUACCCCAAAUUAUAUUCUAUAAAAUUCCAUGGCAUGUACUCACCAGAGUGCAUAAUUGAACAAUUCAAAAUGAAAUGCUUAAAACUUUGUCACACUUUGAAAUAAUUGAUAUUGGAGAAAAAUGCUUGAACAAGUGCUUUUUGUCAUGAAAGUAGAGCAUAUGGGUGGAAAAAUUGCAUUAUGUUCUGAGUAAAACACUGAGUGCAUACUGUUAGGACUGAGAUUUACUUAUUAAGUUUGCAAGUACACUUAGGAGGAAAUCCAGUGCAGUGCACUGAAGAAUAAAGAAGAUGGAACUGUUUGGAAGCAGGAGGGGUUACAAAACCUGUGUUUUCCUGCCUUACAGGAAACCUUUUCUUAGAGGACAGAUUCUGUGUUUGGCCUAGAAUAAUGAAACACAGCUUUUGAUAUCAAAUAGGGCUUUGAGCAACCUGGUCUAGUGAGAGUUGUCCUUGCCUAUAGCAGGGGGGUAGGAACUAGGUGAUCUUAAAGGUCCCUUCCAACCCAAACCAUUCUAUGAUUCUGUGAUUCUAUAAAUAGUGAAAGAUGAUCCAGUACAAGGAAAGAUGGGUUGGUUAGACAUUAAUGUAACUGUAGCUGGUGACUGUGUUGAUGUCACACGAGGUGUUUUACAAACUGCAUGUUAGAAAAGGGAAAAAAAAAAAAGUAAGAAAGGUAAAACAUCCUCUCUCUAGUAAUACUUCAAGUUAUUA